CCUACGGGAGGCUGCAGUGAGGAAUAUUGGUCAAUGGACGAGAGUCUGAACCAGCCAAGUAGCGUGAAGGAUGACUGCCCUAUGGGUUGUAAACUUCUUUUAUAUGGGAAUAAAACGUUCCACGUGUGGGAUUUUGUAUGUACCAUAUGAAUAAGGCUCGGCUAAAUCCGUGCCAGCAGCCGCGGUAAUACGGAGGAACCGAGCGUUAUCCGGAUUUAUUGGGUUUAAAGGGAGCGUAGGUGGAUUAUUAAGUCAGUUGUGAAAGUUUGCGGCCCAACCGUGAAAUUGCAGUUGAAACUGGCAGUCUUGAGUACAGUAGAGGUGGGCGGAAUUCGUGGUGUAGCGGUGAAAUGCUUAGAUAUCACGAAGAACUCCGAUUGCGAAGGCAGUUCACUGGACUGCAACUGACACUGAGGCUCGAAAGUGUGGGUAUCAAACAGGAUUAGAUACCCCUGUAGUC
RNAcentral lists this ribosomal RNA (460 nucleotides) under uncultured bacterium. RNAcentral's name for it is "partial 16S ribosomal RNA". It matches the Rfam family "Bacterial small subunit ribosomal RNA", at positions 338 to 795 of the family's 1533-position model. The record is from RNAcentral.